AGUGAACGCUGGCGGUAGGCCUAACACAUGCAAGUCGAACGGCAGCACAGUAAGAGCUUGCUCUUACGGGUGGCGAGUGGCGGACGGGUGAGGAAUACAUCGGAAUCUACUUUUUCGUGGGGGAUAACGUAGGGAAACUUACGCUAAUACCGCAUACGACCUACGGGUGAAAGCAGGGGAUCUUCGGACCUUGCGCGAUUGAAUGAGCCGAUGUCGGAUUAGCUAGUUGGCGGGGUAAAGGCCCACCAAGGCGACGAUCCGUAGUUGGUCUGAGAGGAUGAUCAGCCACACUGGAACUGAGACACGGUCCAGACUCCUACGGGAGGCAGCAGUGGGGAAUAUUGGACAAUGGGCGCAAGCCUGAUCCAGCCAUACCGCGUGGGUGAAGAAGGCCUUCGGGUUGUAAAGCCCUUUUGUUGGGAAAGAAAAGCAGCAGGUUAAUACCCCGCUGUUCUGACGGUACCCAAAGAAUAAGCACCGGCUAACUUCAUG
RNAcentral lists this ribosomal RNA (492 nucleotides) under uncultured bacterium. RNAcentral describes it as "partial 16S ribosomal RNA". It matches the Rfam family "Bacterial small subunit ribosomal RNA", at positions 29 to 507 of the family's 1533-position model. The record is from RNAcentral.